GCUUUGAAGAUGAUUAAACUGUCUGUAGAUGAUGAAAGACACAAUGCAGGUGCAUUAACAGAGC
RNAcentral lists this small nucleolar RNA (64 nucleotides) under Amazona collaria (yellow-billed parrot). Its description in RNAcentral is "Small nucleolar RNA SNORD109A (ENSACOG00000010690.1)". It matches the Rfam family "Small nucleolar RNA SNORD109A". Rfam says of the family: Humans have two copies of the SNORD109 gene, SNORD109A and SNORD109B. Lineage: Eukaryota; Metazoa; Chordata; Aves; Psittaciformes; Psittacidae. The record is from Rfam by way of RNAcentral.